This 73-nucleotide transfer RNA is filed under the name Erinaceus europaeus (western European hedgehog). RNAcentral's name for it is "tRNA-Lys (CTT) (tRNA-Lys-CTT-95-1)". It matches the Rfam family "tRNA". From Rfam's summary of the family: Transfer RNA (tRNA) molecules are approximately 80 nucleotides in length. The record is from Rfam by way of RNAcentral. Lineage: Eukaryota; Metazoa; Chordata; Mammalia; Eulipotyphla; Erinaceidae.
GCCUGACUAGCUCAGUCAGUAGAGUAUGAGACUCUUAAUCUCAGGGUCAUGGGUUCCAGCCCCAUGUUGGGCA